CCUGGACCAUUCGUUCCCUGCCCCUCUCCCCUUCACUAGCAGAGCACUGCUCCCUGCCAUGGGCACAGCUAGCUCAAGGAGAUGAUCCAGUGGAAAAGUAAGGGUAUCUUUUUGCUGACUUUCAUUUGGAUUUGCUCCAUGCUCUGGCUGUCUGCAUGGCUGUGCAAGAGCUGGUUCUGGUGCAAAGCAGAGGACACAAGCAUGUGGGAAGGAGCAGAGGGCAGACAGAGAGGGACCUUUCCUUGGUCCAUGGCAACUGGAUGGUUGUGGAAUUCUUAUGAUCUGGGCCAGCUGUCCACAAAAAGGCAACAAAAACACCCAAGAUUUCUCUAUGCCACCUGUCUCCAUAAGCAGAAUAUUCAACACGCAGCGACUGAACCCAUGAGGGAACAGCAGCAUGAGCACCAGUGAUGCAGUAUAUCUUCAGUAACCAUGCUGUUUUGGG
RNAcentral lists this long non-coding RNA (445 nucleotides) under Dromaius novaehollandiae (emu). Its description in RNAcentral is "lncRNA (ENSDNVG00000002489.1)". The record is from RNAcentral. Lineage: Eukaryota; Metazoa; Chordata; Aves; Casuariiformes; Dromaiidae.